UACGUAUGGGGCGAGCGUUGUUCGGAAUCAUUGGGCGUAAAGGGCGUGUAGGCGGCUUGGCAAGCUUGGUGUGAAAGGUCACGGCUUAACCGUGAAUGUGCGCUGAGAACUGCCAGGCUGGAGUUUUGGGGGGGAAGCUGGAAUUCCUGGUGUAGGGGUGAAAUCUGUAGAUAUCAGGAAGAACACCGAUGGCGAAGGCAAGCUUCUAUCCAAAGACUGACGCUGAGGCGCGAAAGUGUGGGGAG
Molecule: ribosomal RNA, 245 nt
Filed under: uncultured bacterium
Lineage: Bacteria
Description: partial 16S ribosomal RNA
Rfam family: Bacterial small subunit ribosomal RNA
Source: RNAcentral